This 483-nucleotide ribosomal RNA is filed under the name uncultured bacterium. RNAcentral describes it as "partial 16S ribosomal RNA". It matches the Rfam family "Bacterial small subunit ribosomal RNA", at positions 30 to 506 of the family's 1533-position model. The record is from RNAcentral.
AUUGAACGCUAGCGGGAUGCUUUACACAUGCAAGUCGAACGGCAGCGCGGACUUCGGUCUGGCGGCGAGUGGCGAACGGGUGAGUAAUGUAUCGGAACGUGCCCAGUAGCGGGGGAUAACUACGCGAAAGCGUAGCUAAUACCGCAUACGCCCUACGGGGGAAAGCAGGGGAUCGUAAGACCUUGCACUAUUGGAGCGGCCGAUAUCGGAUUAGCUAGUUGGUGAGGUAACGGCCCACCAAGGCGACGAUCCGUAGCUGGUUUGAGAGGACGACCAGCCACACUGGGACUGAGACACGGCCCAGACUCCUACGGGAGGCAGCAGUGGGGAAUUUUGGACAAUGGGGGCAACCCUGAUCCAGCCAUCCCGCGUGUGCGAUGAAGGCCUUCGGGUUGUAAAGCACUUUUGGCAGGAAAGAAACGUCGCGGGCUAAUACCCCGUGGAACUGACGGUACCUGCAGAAUAAACACCGGCUAACUACGU